Molecule: ribosomal RNA, 253 nt
Filed under: uncultured bacterium
Lineage: Bacteria
Description: partial 16S ribosomal RNA
Rfam family: Bacterial small subunit ribosomal RNA
Source: RNAcentral
GACAGAGGGUGCAAACGUUGUUCGGAAUUACUGGGCGUAAAGCGAGUGUAGGCGGUCUCAAAAGUCGGGUGUGAAAGCCCUGGGCUCAACUGGGGAGGGUCACGCGAUACUGAUCGACUCGAAGGCAGGAGAGGGUAGUGGAAUUCCCGGUGUAGUGGUGAAAUGCGUAGAUAUCGGGAGGAACACCAGUGGCGAAGGCGACUACCUGGCCUGUUCUUGACGCUGAGGCGCGAAAGCUAGGGGAGCAAACGGG